RNAcentral lists this ribosomal RNA (648 nucleotides) under Paenibacillus apii. Its description in RNAcentral is "partial 23S ribosomal RNA". It matches the Rfam family "Bacterial large subunit ribosomal RNA", at positions 1250 to 1894 of the family's 2925-position model. Lineage: Bacteria; Bacillati; Bacillota; Bacilli; Caryophanales; Paenibacillaceae. The record is from RNAcentral.
UUGAAGGUUGAUCGUGAGGACAGCUGGACUGCAUACAAGUGAGAAUGCCGGUAUGAGUAACGAAAAGAUCAGUGAGAAUCUGAUCCGCCGAAAGCCCAAGGUUUCCUGAGGAAGGCUCGUCCGCUCAGGGUAAGUCGGGACCUAAGGCGAGGCCGACAGGCGUAGUCGAAGGACAACAGGUUGAUAUUCCUGUACCACCGUAAUCCGUUAUGAGCGAUGGGGGGACGCAGGAGGGUAGUGACGCGGACUGAUGGAUGUCCGUCCAAGCAGUGAGGCUGGUGUGUAGGCAAAUCCGCACAUCAUAAGGCCAGGCUGUGAUGGGGAGCGAAAAUUACAGUAGCGAAGGUCAUGAUCUCACACUGCCAAGAAAAGCCUCUAGCCAGGAGAAGGUGCCCGUACCGCAAACCGACACAGGUAGGCGAGAAGAGAAUUCUAAGGCGCGCGGAAGAACUCUCGUUAAGGAACUCGGCAAAAUGACCCCGUAACUUCGGGAGAAGGGGUGCCUCGGUAGGGUGAAUAGCCCGAGGGGGCCGCAGUGAAAAGGCCCAAGCGACUGUUUAGCAAAAACACAGGUCUGUGCGAAGCCGCAAGGCGAAGUAUACGGGCUGACGCCUGCCCGGUGCUGGAAGGUUAAGGGGAGCGGUUAGG